GAAUAUUGGACAAUGGGGGCAACCCUGAUCCAGCAGUGCCGCGUGUGUGAAGAAGGCCUGCGGGUUGUAAAGCACUUUCAGCAGGGAAGAAAAGCCCGGGGAUAACACCCCCGGGUCUUGACGUUACCUGAAGAAGAAGCACCGGCUAACUCCGUGCCAGCAGCCGCGGUAAUACGGAGGGUGCGAGCGUUAAUCGGAAUUACUGGGCGUAAAGCGCACGCAGGCGGUUGGGUAAGUCGGAUGUGAAAGCCCUGGGCUUAACCUGGGAACUGCAUUCGAUACUGCCCGGCUGGAGUAUGGGAGAGGGAAGCGGAAUUUCCGGUGUAGCGGUGAAAUGCGUAGAUAUCGGAAGGAACACCAAUGGCGAAGGCAGCUUCCUGGCCCAAUACUGACGCUCAGGUGCGAAAGCGUGGGGAGCAAACAGG
RNAcentral lists this ribosomal RNA (425 nucleotides) under uncultured bacterium. Its description in RNAcentral is "bacterial SSU rRNA". It matches the Rfam family "Bacterial small subunit ribosomal RNA", at positions 359 to 776 of the family's 1533-position model. The record is from RNAcentral.